UUCCAUGUGACCGGGACAUGUAUGUAAAUUAAGUUAUGCAUAAUAAUGUGAAAGGACACAGGGAAAAUUCAUUGAACACCUGAAGAAAGGCAGGUGCAAAAACACAUGGAAAGCCAAGACACCACCUGAA
This is a long non-coding RNA of Thalassophryne amazonica, 130 nucleotides long. RefSeq lists it as uncharacterized. The record is from RefSeq and is a predicted model, not a curated record. The transcript is spliced from 3 exons. Lineage: Eukaryota; Metazoa; Chordata; Actinopteri; Batrachoidiformes; Batrachoididae.